RNAcentral lists this ribosomal RNA (468 nucleotides) under uncultured bacterium. Its description in RNAcentral is "partial 16S ribosomal RNA". It matches the Rfam family "Bacterial small subunit ribosomal RNA", at positions 28 to 507 of the family's 1533-position model. The record is from RNAcentral.
GACGAACGCUGGCGGCGUGCUUAACACAUGCAAGUCGAACGGAAAGGCCCUGCUUUUGUGGGGUGCUCGAGUGGCGAACGGGUGAGUAACACGUGAGUAACCUGCCCUUGACUUUGGGAUAACUUCAGGAAACUGGGGCUAAUACCGGAUAGGAGCUCCUGCUGCAUGGUGGGGGUUGGAAAGUUUCGGCGGUUGGGGAUGGACUCGCGGCUUAUCAGCUUGUUGGUGGGGUAGUGGCUUACCAAGGCUUUGACGGGUAGCCGGCCUGAGAGGGUGACCGGGCACAUUGGGACUGAGAUACGGCCCAGACUCCGAGGGGAGGCAGCAGUGGGGAAUAGUGCACAAUGGGCGGAAGCCUGAUGGAGCAACGCCGCGUGCGGGAUGACGGCCUUCGGGUUGUAAACCGCUUUCGCCUGUGACGAAGCGUGAGUGACGGUAAUGGGUAAAGAAGCACCGGCUAACUACGUG